RNAcentral lists this ribosomal RNA (467 nucleotides) under uncultured bacterium. Its description in RNAcentral is "partial 16S ribosomal RNA". It matches the Rfam family "Bacterial small subunit ribosomal RNA", at positions 28 to 507 of the family's 1533-position model. The record is from RNAcentral.
GAUGAACGCUGGCGGCGUGCUUAACACAUGCAAGUCGAACGGAAAGGCCCAAGCUUGCUUGGGUACUCGAGUGGCGAACGGGUGAGUAACACGUGGGUGAUCUGCCCUGCACUUCGGGAUAAGCCUGGGAAACUGGGUCUAAUACCGGAUAGGACCACUUCUUGGAUGUUGUGGUGGAAAGUUUUUUCGGUGUGGGAUGAGCUCGCGGCCUAUCAGCUUGUUGGUGGGGUAAUGGCCUACCAAGGCGUCGACGGGUAGCCGGCCUGAGAGGGUGUACGGCCACAUCGGGACUGAGAUACGGCCCAGACUCCUACGGGAGGCAGCAGUGGGGAAUAUUGCACAAUGGGCGCAAGCCUGAUGCAGCGACGCCGCGUGGGGGAUGACGGCCUUCGGGUUGUAAACUCCUUUCGCUAGGGACGAAGCGUUUUGUGACGGUACCUGGAGAAGAAGCACCGGCUAACUACGUG